CCUACGGGUGGCAGCAGUGGGGAAUAUUGCACAAUGGGGGAAACCCUGAUGCAGCGACGCCGCGUGAGUGAAGAAGUAUUUCGGUAUGUAAAGCUCUAUCAGCAGGGAAGAAAAUGACGGUACCGGAUUAAGAAGCCCCGGCUAACUACGUGCCAGCAGCCGCGGGAAUAAGUAGGGGGCAAGAGUUAUCCGGAUUUACUGGGUUUACAGGGAGCGUAGACGGCAGCACAAGUCUGGAGUGAAAUGCCGGGGCUUAACCCCGGACCUGCUUUGGAAACUGUGCAGCUAGAGUGCAGGAGAGGUAAGUGGAAUUCCUAGUGUAGCGGUGAAAUGCGUAGAUAUUAGGAGGAACACCAGUGGCGAAGGCGGCUUACUGGACUGUAACUGACGUUGAGGCUCGAAAGCGUGGGGAGCAAACAGGAUUAGAUACCCCUGUAGUC
Molecule: ribosomal RNA, 440 nt
Filed under: uncultured bacterium
Lineage: Bacteria
Description: partial 16S ribosomal RNA
Rfam family: Bacterial small subunit ribosomal RNA
Source: RNAcentral